RNAcentral lists this ribosomal RNA (778 nucleotides) under uncultured archaeon. RNAcentral's name for it is "bacterial SSU rRNA". It matches the Rfam family "Archaeal small subunit ribosomal RNA", at positions 577 to 1353 of the family's 1478-position model. The record is from RNAcentral.
GGGAAUACUGCAAAGCUAGGGAGUGGGAGAGGUAGACGGUACUCGGUAGGAAGGGGUAAAAUCCUUUGAUCUAUUGAUGACCACCUGUGGCGAAGGCGGACUACCAGAACACGUCCGACGGUGAGUGAUGAAAGCUGGGGGAGCAAACCGGAUUAGAUACCCGGGUAGUCCCAGCCGUAAACCAUGCAAACUCAGUGGUGCAUUGGCUUGUGGCCAAUGCAGUGCUGCAGGGAAGCCGUUAAGUUUGCCGCCUGGGAAGUACGUACGCAAGUAUGAAACUUAAAGGAAUUGGCGGGGGAGCUCCACAAGGGGUGAAGCCUGCGGUUCAAUUGGAGUCAACGCCAGAAAUCUUACCCGGAGAGACAGCAGAAUGAAGGUCAAGCUGAAGACUUUACCAGACAAGCUGAGAGGUGGUGCAUGGCCGUCGCCAGCUCGUGCCGUGAGAUGUCCUGUUAAGUCAGGUAACGAGCGAGAUCCCUGCCUCUAGUCGCCACCAUUACUCUCAGGAGUAGUGGGGCGAAUUAGCGGGACCGCCGCAGUUAAUGUGGAGGAAGGAAGGGGCCACGGCAGGUCAGUAUGCCCCGAAACUCUGGGGCCACACGCGGGCUGCAAUGGUAGUGACAAUGGGCCCCGAAUCCGAAAGGAGGAGGUAAUCCUCAAACACUACCACAGUUAUGACUGAGGGCUGCAACUCGCCCUCACGGAUAUGGAAUCCCUAGUAACUGCGUGUCAUUAUCGCGCGGUGAAUACGUCCCUGCUCCUUGCACUCACCGCCCGU